This 186-nucleotide small nuclear RNA is filed under the name Haemaphysalis longicornis (longhorned tick). RNAcentral's name for it is "U1 spliceosomal RNA". It matches the Rfam family "U1 spliceosomal RNA". Rfam says of the family: U1 is a small nuclear RNA (snRNA) component of the spliceosome (involved in pre-mRNA splicing). Its 5' end forms complementary base pairs with the 5' splice junction, thus defining the 5' donor site of an intron. There are significant differences in sequence and secondary structure between metazoan and yeast U1 snRNAs, the latter being much longer (568 nucleotides as compared to 164 nucleotides in human). Lineage: Eukaryota; Metazoa; Arthropoda; Arachnida; Ixodida; Ixodidae. The record is from Rfam by way of RNAcentral.
AUACUUACCUGGUGUCGGAGUGUUGCUGGUCAAGACUGGCGCGCUUCCCCGGCGAGGCGCGGCGUUCACUGCGCCCGGUGCUUGACCCCCAUGCCCCUCUACGCCCAAUAACAACCGACCCCAAACUGGGGCAGAUGGGGCAUGCAAUUUUUGGUAGUGGGGGGACUGCGUGCGCGCUUUCCCCCC